AGAGUUGAUCUGGCUCAGGAUGAACGCUAGCGGCAGGCCUAACACAUGCAAGUCGCGGGGCAGCACGGGUAGCAAUACCUGGUGGCGACCGGCGGAUGGGUGCGUAACGCGUAUGCAACCUACCUAUACAGGGGAAUAACCUUUCGAAAGGGAGACUAACACCCCAUGGUAUUGAUUUAAGGCAUCUUAGAUUAAUUAAAUAUUUAUAGGUAUAAGAUGGGCAUGCGUAUGAUUAGCUAGUUGGUAAGGUAACGGCUUACCAAGGCGACGAUCAUUAGGGGUUCUGAGAGGAAGGUCCCCCACACUGGUACUGAGACACGGACCAGACUCCUACGGGAGGCAGCAGUGAGGAAUAUUGGUCAAUGGGCGCAAGCCUGAACCAGCCAUGCCGCGUGCAAGGAAGACGGCCUUAUGGGUUGUAAACUGCUUUUACAUAAGACUAACCGUAUAUUUGCGAAUAUACCUGAAUGUAUUAUGAGAAUAAGGAUCGGCUAACUCCGUGCCAGCCGCCGC
RNAcentral lists this ribosomal RNA (513 nucleotides) under uncultured bacterium. RNAcentral describes it as "bacterial SSU rRNA". It matches the Rfam family "Bacterial small subunit ribosomal RNA", at positions 8 to 518 of the family's 1533-position model. The record is from RNAcentral.